Molecule: long non-coding RNA, 3399 nt
Filed under: Sorghum bicolor (sorghum)
Lineage: Eukaryota; Viridiplantae; Streptophyta; Magnoliopsida; Poales; Poaceae
Description: long non-coding RNA (SBIC_LNC010499)
Source: RNAcentral
GGACACUCGAAACUAAAGGUAGAUGUGAACCUAACGGUACGUCUGAAGCUUUGAUUACCACUUGAGGAGAACAAGGCUUGAUCUUCCGAAAGGUUGUGGUAACUAUCGAUUUGGUGGAAACGAGACACAAAUCAAUCCAGUUUGCUAACAACACGAUUCGAAACCCUGCAAUUCUUUUUUUUAUAUAUUUUUCUUUUACUUAGGAGCACUGAAGAAGUAACCACAAGAAAUUUGAGCUUAAACAAGUGAAGGACAUGGCCUGUGGAAUUUUUUGAAGAUUGCGAAAAAUAUGAAAAUAAUGUUUAGGAGGUGAAUACUCAAAUUUUCAGAGGCGAGUUUGGGAAUUCUAAAUUUGUCACACCCGCCUAUGGCGGGGAUAGACAAAUCCAAAAAUUUUUUUGAUCGAUUUUGAUAUAUGGAACGUCAAAAUCAGAGUUCGUAGGCGAGAGUUAUGGCUGUUUUACGAACAGACUCUGAAUUAGAGGACAAAACGGUCCGGAAGUGGGAAAAAUUUGCGGUGGUGGCUAUAAAUUGAUGGAAACAGUGGGAAGAAACACACAAAUUGGACUCUAACAAGACCUAACUAGUAACAAGAUCUCGACCAGGACACAAACUCAACACUACGGACUCUGAAACUGAAAUAUGCAAAGGCUAUGGCGCGGAUGGGUUGUAGGACAUGAAAACAAUAUAGCACUAGACUUAUGGGACGAACACAAGGACACUCGAAACUAAGGAUAGAUGUGAACCUAACGGUACGUCUGAAGCUUUGAUUAACACUUGAGGAGAACAAGUGUGGCCCGAUCUUCCGAAAGGUUCUAGUAACUAUCAAUUUGGUGGAAACGAGAUCCAAAUCAACCCAUCUUGCGAACAACGCGGUUCGAAACCCUGCAAUUCUUUUUUUUUGAUAUUUUUCUUUUACUAAGGAGCAGUCAAGAAGUAACCACAGGAAAUUUGAGCUUAAACAAGUGAAAGACUUGGCCUGUGGAAUUUUUUGAAUAUUGCAAAAAAUAUAAAAAAACUUUAGGAAGUGAAAACUCAAACUUCAGGGGCGAAUUUGGGGAUUCUAAAAUUAUCGAACCCACCUCUAGCGAAGAUAGACAGAUCCAAAAAUUUCUUCUCAUCGAUUUUGAUAUAUGGAACGUCAAUAUCUGAGUUCGUAUGCGAAAGUUAUGGCUGUUUUACGAACGAACUCCGAAUUUGAGGACAAAACGGUCCGGAAGUGGGAAAAAUUUGUGGUGGUGGCUAGAAAUUGAUGGAAACGGUGGGAAAAAACACACAAACUGGACUCUAACAAGACCAAAUCAGUAACAAGACCUCGACCAGGACACAAACUCAACACUACGGACUCUGAAACUGAAAUAUGCAAAGGUUGUGGCGCGGAUGGGUUGUAGGAAAUGAAAACAAUUUGGCACUAGACUUAUGGGACGAAGACAAGGACACUCGAAACUAAGGGUAGAUGUGAACCUAACGGUACGUAUGAAGCUUUGAUUACAACUUCAGGAGAACAAGGCCCGAUCUUCCGAAAGGUUCUGGUAACUAUCGAUUUGGUGGAAACGAGACCCAAAUCAGUCCACCUUGCGAACAACGCGGUUCGAAACCCUGCAAUUCUUUUUAUUUUUUUUGAUAUUUUUUAUUUACUUAGGAGCACUCAAGAAGUAACCACCGGAAAUUUGAGCUUAAAUAAGUUAAAGACGUGGCCUGUGGAAUUUUUUGAAGAUUGCGAAAAAUAUAAAAAAAACUUUAGGAGGUGAAAACUCAAACUUCAGGGGCGAGUUUGGGGAUUCUAAAAUUAUCGCACCCGCCUCUAGCCAAGAUAGACAGAUCCAAAAAUUUGUUCUCAUCGAUUUUGAUAUAUGGAACGUCAAAAUCGGAGUUCGUAUGCGAAAGUUAUGGCUGUUUUGCGAACGGACUCCGAAUUAGAGGACAAAACGGUCUGGAAUUGGGAAAAAUUUGUGGUGGUGGCUAGAAAUUGAUGGAAACGGUGGGAAAAAACACACAAACUAGACUCUAACAAGACCAAAUCAGUAACAAGACCUUGACCAGGACACAAACUCAACACUACGGACUCUGAAACUGAAAUAUGCAAAGGUUAUGGCGCGGAUGGGUUGCAGGACAUGAAAACAAUUUGGCACUAGACUUAUGGGACGAACACAAGGACACUCGAAACUAAAGGUAGAUGUGAACCUAACGGUACGUCUGAAGCUUUGAUUACCACUUGAGGAGAACAAGGCCUGAUCUUCUGAAAGGUUGUGGUAACUAUCGAUUUGGUGGAAACGAGACACAAAUCAAUCCAGUUUGCGAACAACACGAUUGGAAACCCAGCAAUUCUUUUUUUUUUAUGUUUUUAUUUUACUUAGGAGCACUCAAGAAGUAACCACAAGAAAUUUGAGCUUAAACAAGUGAAGGACGUGGCCUGUGGAAUUUUUUGAAGUUUGCGAAAAAUAUGAAAAUAAUGUUUAGGAGGUGAAAACUCAAAUUUUCAGAGGCGAGUUUGGGAAUUCUAAAUUUGUCGCACCCGCCUAUGGCGGGGAUAGAUAGAUCUAAAAAAUUUUCUGAUCGAUUUUGAUAUAUGGAACGUCAAAAUCGGAGUUCGUAGGCGAAAGUUAUGGCUGUUUUACGAACGGACUCUGAAUUAGAGGACAAAUCGGUCCGGAAGUGGGAAAGUUUUGCGGUGGUGGUUAUAAAUUGAUGGAAACGGUGGGAAGAAACACACAAAUUGGACUCUAACAAGACCUAACCAGUAACAAGAUCUCGACCAGGACACAAACUCAACACUACGGACUGAACUGAAAUAUGCAAAGGCUAUGGCGCGGAUGGGUUGUAGGACAUGAAAACAAUAUAGCACUAGACUUAUGGGACGAACACAAGGACACUCGAAACUAAAGAUAGAUGUGAACCUAACGGUACGUCUGAAGCUUUGAUUAACACUUGAGGAGAACAAGUGUGGCCCGAUCUUCCGAAAGGUUCUAGUAACUAUCAAUUUGGUGGAAACGAGACCCAAAUCAAUCCACCUUGCGAACAACGCGGUUCAAAACCCUGCAAUUCUUUUUAUUUUUUUUGAUAUUUUUCUUUUAUUUAGGAGCACUCAAGAAGUAACCACAGGAAAUUUGAGCUUAAACAAGUGAAAGACAUGGCCUGUGGAAUUUUUGGAAGAUUGCGAAAAAUAUAAAAAAAACUUUAGGAGGUGAAAACUCAAACUUCAGGGGCAAAUUUGGGGAUUCUAAAAUAAUCGAACCCACCUCUAGCAGAGAUAGACAGAUCCAAAAAUUUGUUCUGAUCGACUUUGAUAUAUGGAACGUCAAAAUCGGAGUUCGUAUGAGAAAGUUAUGGUUGUUUUACGAACGGACUCCGAAUUAGAGGACAAAACGGUCCGGGAGUGGGAAAAAUUUGUGGUGGUGG